Molecule: small RNA, 1562 nt
Filed under: Pongo abelii (Sumatran orangutan)
Lineage: Eukaryota; Metazoa; Chordata; Mammalia; Primates; Hominidae
Description: retained intron
Source: RNAcentral
AAAUUUGAAAUGGCUGAAGGGUCGCUGACGGGCGGCGGUCUGGAGGCAGCUGCUAUGGCGCCGGAGCGCACGGGCUGGGCGGUAGAGCAGGAGCCAGCGUCUCUGGAGAAAGGUUUGUUCCAAGAUGAAGAUUCAUGCAGUGAUUGUAGCUACCGUGAUAAACCAGGCUCUAGUUUACAAAGUUUUAUGCCAGAAGGAAAAACCUUUUUCCCAGAAAUUUUCCAAACAAAUCAACUUUUGUUCUAUGAGCGAUUCAGAGCCUAUCAAGAUUACAUUUUAGCUGACUGCAAGGCCUCUGAGGUACAGGAAUUCACAGCUGAGUUCUUGGAGAAGGUCCUUGAGCCAUCUGGAUGGCGGGCAGUCUGGCAUACUAAUGUGUUCAAGGUGCUGGUUGAGGUCACAGAUGUGGACUUUGCAGCCUUGAAGGCAGUGGUGAGGCUUGCUGAACCAUACCUCUGUGACUCUCAAGUGAGCACUUUUACCAUGGAGUGCAUGAAGGAGCUCCUCGAUCUGAAGGAGCAUCGGUUGCCCCUGCAGGAGCUGUGGGUGGUGUUUGAUGAUUCAGGAGUGUUUGACCAGACAGCUCUUGCAAUUGAGCAUGUCAGAUUUUUCUACCAAAAUAUUUGGAGGAGUUGGGAUGAAGAAGAGGAGGAUGAAUACGAUUAUUUUGUCAGAUGUGUUGAGCCUCGAUUAAGAUUGCAUUAUGACAUUCUUGAAGACCGAGUUCCAUCAGGACUUAUUGUUGACUACCGCAAUCUGUUGUCUCAAUGUGAGGAGAGUUACAGGAAAUUUUUAAAUCUGAGAAGCAGUUUGUCAAAUUGUAACUCUGAUUCCGAGCAGGAAAAUAUCUCCAUGGUGGAAGGGUUAAAAUUGUAUUCGGAGAUGGAACAACUGAAACAAAAGCUGAAACUCAUUGAGAAUCCUUUGUUGAGGUAUGUGUGUCUUUGUAAUUCUUAGUCAGCAUCUUUUCUUACUUGCUGUCUUACUGAUAGGCCUGUUUCGUUUCUUUAAGGUAUGUGUUUGGUUAUCAGAAGAAUUCUAAUAUCCAAGCAAAGGGUGUCCGUCCCAGUGGUCAGAAGAUCACUCAUGUGGUCUCUUCCACCAUGAUGGCUGGUCUCCUGCGGUCCCUGCUCACGGACAGGCUUUGCCAGGAGCCUGGUGAGGAAGAAAGAGAAAUUCAGGUAAACAGAGAGUUUCUCACUCCAGGUGGCUUUUUUUUCUUCUGAUUCACCACAGGUUUUCACAAAUCCCACAAAGUAUUUACAGGAGCUUUCCCAAGAUGUUUUUCUGUGCAUGGGAAGUAGUGAGAGCCCUGCCUUUCGUCAGCAGUAGUCACUUACCAGGCAUGUGUUAGGUCAGUGCACUAUCAAAGGAGAUGCUUCAAUAUGCAGUUUUUGGCUUCCAUUUUCAAAGUAAGACAUGAAGGCACCUAGAGUAAUACCCAAAUUACUUUUUUGGGAGUGUAUAUUUACAAAUGUGUUCUUAUUGUUUUCUAGUUCCAUAGUGAUCCAUUGUCUGCUAUAAAUGCCUGCUUUGAAGGUGACACUGUUAUUGUUUGUCCU